Molecule: long non-coding RNA, 528 nt
Filed under: Trifolium pratense (red clover)
Lineage: Eukaryota; Viridiplantae; Streptophyta; Magnoliopsida; Fabales; Fabaceae
Description: long non-coding RNA (TPRA_LNC012784)
Source: RNAcentral
AAAAAUUGAGCUUAACAGAUCGUAUCUAAAAUGGUUGUUCGAUCAAGUUCAUUGCACCAUGGGAAGACUCUGUUGAGUUGGCAUGGUUUGCUUUUGAAUGAGUGCCUCAAGAGCUUCAUGAAGGAGAUGGAAGCAAUCUGGAUUAGUAGUAAGUGUGAUUGUUAUGCAAUUGGCGAUUAGUCGCUUCUCUGUUCCCUUUUCUCAUUCCCUCUCCACAACUUGUAACCAACUUUGCUGAGUCAUCAUUCUCAUUCUCCUUAGUUAUUUCUUUCAUAACAAAGUCUUACCAUUUCAUGACCACAUAAAAGAUAUAAUAAUGAAGCUCUACAAGUAAUUAUACAAAUAUUUAGAGCCUUAAGCUUCUGAGAAUUAAUAAACAUAGGGCAUCCUCUUAAACUUCGAUUUCCAAAACAUCUCUAAUCACAUGAAUGUAUAGAGAUGGAGUUUGGCGAUUUAUUUUGUGACCAUUUUAUUAAAUUAAUGUUAUCUACUUUUAGCGAUCAACUUAGCAACUGAUUUGGAGACAUA